GGCGAUUGUCGGUAUGGUCGCUUUUUCACAAAAAAAUUGGUUACCAACAAGCGAAGUGACUAGACCGAACACUCGUGCU
Molecule: microRNA precursor, 79 nt
Filed under: Drosophila ananassae
Lineage: Eukaryota; Metazoa; Arthropoda; Insecta; Diptera; Drosophilidae
Source: RNAcentral